This 527-nucleotide ribosomal RNA is filed under the name Montfortula sp. MNHN IM 2013-57670. RNAcentral describes it as "partial large subunit ribosomal RNA". It matches the Rfam family "Bacterial large subunit ribosomal RNA", at positions 1817 to 2600 of the family's 2925-position model. The record is from RNAcentral. Lineage: Eukaryota; Metazoa; Mollusca; Gastropoda; Lepetellida; Fissurellidae.
GGCCCCCCGUAGUGCUCAGAUGGUGGGUCUGGCCUGCCCAGUGACUGUAUGGUUAAACGGCCGCGGAAUAUUAACUGUGCGAAGGUAGCGUAAUAAUUUGCCUAUUAAUUGUGGGCUAGUAUGAAUGGUCUGACGAGGGCUAAGCUGUCUCUUUAUGAUAUAUUUGGAAAUUAUUUUUUAGGUGAAGGUACCUAAAUACUGCUAAGGGACGAUAAGACCCUGUCGAGCUUAAGCGGAAUUUUAGGUGUGGACUGAUCAAAUUUGAAAUUGGUUUAAUUGUUGCUAAAAUGAAUUUUUGACUGGGGCGGUCAGGGAGUAGAAAGAACCUUCUGUUUAAUGUAUUUGCUUUUUGGCAUGUGAUCUAGCUUGUUGCGGAGCAUAAGAAAAAGUUACCGCAGGGAUAACAGCGUAAUUUUUUUGGAGAGUUCUUAUUGAGAAAAAAGUUUGCGACCUCGAUGUUGGACUAAGGUGUCCUGAAGGUGCAGAAGCUUUCAAGGGUUAGUCUGUUCGACUAUUAAAACCUUACA